UACGAAGGGGGCUAGCGUUGCUCGGAUUUACUGGGCGUAAAGGGCGCGUAGGCGGACAGUUAAGUUGGGGGUGAGAGCCCGGGGCUCAACCUCGGAAUUGCCUUCAAUACUGGCUGUCUUGAGUGUGAGAGAGGUGUGUGGAACUCCGAGUGUAGAGGUGAAAUUCGUAGAUAUUCGGAAGAACACCAGUGGCGAAGGCGACACACUGGCUCACUACUGACGCUGAGGCGCGAAAGCGUGGGGAGCAAACAGG
RNAcentral lists this ribosomal RNA (253 nucleotides) under uncultured bacterium. RNAcentral's name for it is "partial 16S ribosomal RNA". It matches the Rfam family "Bacterial small subunit ribosomal RNA", at positions 524 to 776 of the family's 1533-position model. The record is from RNAcentral.